UGAGAACUGAAUUCCACGGGUUGUGAUUGCAACUCUGACAGACCCGUGGGGCUCAGUUCUUGA
Molecule: microRNA precursor, 63 nt
Filed under: Ornithorhynchus anatinus (platypus)
Lineage: Eukaryota; Metazoa; Chordata; Mammalia; Monotremata; Ornithorhynchidae
Description: Oan-Mir-146-P4_pre stem-loop
Source: RNAcentral